Molecule: long non-coding RNA, 1415 nt
Organism: Wasmannia auropunctata (little fire ant)
Lineage: Eukaryota; Metazoa; Arthropoda; Insecta; Hymenoptera; Formicidae
Exons: 4
Source: RefSeq, a predicted model, not a curated record
AUAAUUCAUAUAUUGUAAGAAAUUUGUUCACAUCAGCGUGAAAUCUUCAGUGCGAUUUGUCUUUAUUUUUAAUAACUACUUAACGGAUUUCUGACUAUCAAAUAGUUACACGUCACUUAUUUACUCCGGUAGAUUGUGUAAAUUUCUCGUCUAUGAACAAUCACGUUUUACAAUGCAAAAUUUAAAAAAUGCAUUUUGAUAUAAACUAUUUGUCAUAUAAAAGAAUCAAAUGUUUAUUAUAUCGAUUAUAGUUAUGUAAAUCGAUUAUAAUCGAAUAGAUAAUAUAAAAAUUGUUAAAUUAUUUUAAUUAUAAAUAACUGCAACUUUUUUUCCAUAUAAUGCUGCAUUUGAAUGCACUAAGGUUAAGUGUGACAGGAAGAACAAAAGAGCUCAUUGUUGUUAUAUACGAAGAGACCCAGCAAAAUGUUGCGAGGAUGUAGAUAUUUGUCAUAAAGAAAUAACCGACAGAGCUAUUGUAAACGGUGUUGUACAUUUUGAUGGUCAGACUUUCGAUGUGGAGAACAACCCGAGUUAGGUUGUGUCUGCCAGUCAGACUAUGAAGAUGUAUCAUAUUUAUGAGAUGCUGUAAGUUUGCGAAAGCGAUUUUGUGUACUGCAUACAUUUCGCCGCCAUGUCAAGUCUGUAAACGUUUUUAUGAAAUUUUUAAGAGCUCCCUGAUGAUGAAGUCAUUUCUAAUCCUGUCGAAUGGAUAAACAUGCGCGCUACGUGCCAAUACGGUACUCUGACAUUGUAAUAUGGCGAUAGACUGAGGGCAACGCAUUGUAUGGAUUGCGUAUGCGAUAAUCCACCUAUGUUGACAUUCAGUUAUAAUAAAAAUUAAUAUUUGGAAGAAUAGAAAUCACUUUUUAAAAAUUAAUUAUUAAUAUCCAAUCAAUGCCAUACAUAAUAAGAUAUUUUUUAUAAAAAAAAACUAUGAAGCAAUACAAAUUCUAAGUUCUAAGUGUCUAAUCGUCUUCGUAUCAUUAAAAAUGUACGAGAUUAUGUCAAGUGAAAGUCUGCAAUAAGUACCGACAAAAAAAUAUCGAGAUGAUCUUCGAAAAAUUUUGACAAAACGUGGAACAUUCUAACAGAAAUUCAAGGCAAUGAUUCAAGGCGAGAGGGAUAAUUUGUUUCAACACAAUAAUAGUUACGUAAUUUAAAUGAGCACGCAACGCGCGAUGACUGAUAAAGCAAAUUAUUCUAUCCAACUCGCGUUUCCUCUUCGCCUGUCCUAUUCUUUGUAUUUCUUUCGUUUCUCAUAUUGCCCAGAUUUUUCUUCGUCUCUUACGCGGGUUUACGACUCUCUUUCGUACUCUUUCAUGCUCGUCUUCAUCCUCCUUUAGCGCGUAUAUUCGCCUGUUUACUCCACCUAGGUAUACUCUAACUCUCUCUCUCAUGUGUGUCUCAACUCACUU